RNAcentral lists this ribosomal RNA (253 nucleotides) under uncultured bacterium. RNAcentral's name for it is "partial 16S ribosomal RNA". It matches the Rfam family "Bacterial small subunit ribosomal RNA", at positions 524 to 776 of the family's 1533-position model. The record is from RNAcentral.
UACAGAGGUGGCAAGCGUUGUUCGGAAUUACUGGGCGUAAAGAGCAUGUAGGCGGCUCUUCAAGUCAGGCGUGAAAGCCCCAGGCUCAACCUGGGAACUGCGCUUGAUACUGUCGAGCUAGAGUGUGGAAGGGGCGAUUGGAAUUCCGUGUGUAGCGGUGAAAUGCGUAGAUAUACGGAGGAACACCAGAGGCGAAGGCGGAUCGCUGGGCCAACACUGACGCUAAAGUGCGAAAGCCAGGGUAGCAAACGGG